UUGGAGGGCAAGUCUGGUGCCAGCAGCCGCGGUAAUUCCAGCUCCAAUAGCGUAUAUUAAAGUUGUUGCAGUUAAAAAGCUCGUAGUUGAAUUUCGGGAUCAAUGUUUCGGUCAUGCCGUUGGUAUGUACUGAUAUUAUUGAUUUCUCACCUUCUAAAGAACCGUAAUGCCAUUAAUUUGGUGUCACGGGGAAUUAGGACUGUUACCUUGAAAAAAUUAGAGUGUUUAAAGCAGGCUCACGCUUGAAUACAUUGACAUGGAAUAAUGAAAUAGGACAUCCGAUUCUAUUUUGUUGGUUUCUAGGAUCGAUGUAAUGAUUAAUAGGGAUAGUUGGGGGCAUUAGUAUUCAAUUGUCAGAGGUGAAAUUCUUGGAUUUAUUGAAGACUAACUACUGCGAAAGCAUUUGCCAAGGAUGUUUUCAUUAAUCAAGAACGAAAGUUAGGGGAUCGAAGACGAUCAGAUACCGUCGUAGUCUUAACCAUAAACUAUGCCGACUAGGGAUCGGAUGAUGUUAAUUUUUUAAUGACUCAUUCGGCGCCUUACGGGAAAC
Molecule: ribosomal RNA, 550 nt
Filed under: uncultured Glomeromycotina
Lineage: Eukaryota; Fungi; Glomeromycota
Description: SSU rRNA
Rfam family: Eukaryotic small subunit ribosomal RNA
Source: RNAcentral